RNAcentral lists this ribosomal RNA (862 nucleotides) under Streptomyces sp. RNAcentral's name for it is "bacterial SSU rRNA". It matches the Rfam family "Bacterial small subunit ribosomal RNA", at positions 56 to 932 of the family's 1533-position model. Lineage: Bacteria; Bacillati; Actinomycetota; Actinomycetes; Kitasatosporales; Streptomycetaceae. The record is from RNAcentral.
UGCAAGUCGAACGAUGAACCACUUCGGUGGGGAUUAGUGGCGAACGGGUGAGUAACACGUGGGCAAUCUGCCCUGCACUCUGGGACAAGCCCUGGAAACGGGGUCUAAUACCGGAUACUGACCCGCUUGGGCAUCCAAGCGGUUCGAAAGCUCCGGCGGUGCAGGAUGAGCCCGCGGCCUAUCAGCUAGUUGGUGAGGUAAUGGCUCACCAAGGCGACGACGGGUAGCCGGCCUGAGAGGGCGACCGGCCACACUGGGACUGAGACACGGCCCAGACUCCUACGGGAGGCAGCAGUGGGGAAUAUUGCACAAUGGGCGAAAGCCUGAUGCAGCGACGCCGCGUGAGGGAUGACGGCCUUCGGGUUGUAAACCUCUUUCAGCAGGGAAGAAGCGAAAGUGACGGUACCUGCAGAAGAAGCGCCGGCUAACUACGUGCCAGCAGCCGCGGUAAUACGUAGGGCGCAAGCGUUGUCCGGAAUUAUUGGGCGUAAAGAGCUCGUAGGCGGCUUGUCACGUCGGUUGUGAAAGCCCGGGGCUUAACCCCGGGUCUGCAGUCGAUACGGGCAGGCUAGAGUUCGGUAGGGGAGAUCGGAAUUCCUGGUGUAGCGGUGAAAUGCGCAGAUAUCAGGAGGAACACCGGUGGCGAAGGCGGAUCUCUGGGCCGAUACUGACGCUGAGGAGCGAAAGCGUGGGGAGCGAACAGGAUUAGAUACCCUGGUAGUCCACGCCGUAAACGGUGGGCACUAGGUGUGGGCAACAUUCCACGUUGUCCGUGCCGCAGCUAACGCAUUAAGUGCCCCGCCUGGGGGAGUACGGCCGCAAGGCUAAAACUCAAAGGAAUGACGGGGGCCCGCACAAGCCG